AGACUUUUCCCCCCUCCUCUUUCUUGUGUCUGUGUGUUACAGUUAAGACUCAUUUUCAGAACAGUUAUCUUCUCUUCUGAGUGUCAUGACUUACAAUGGCAGAGACAUUAUCCCUAUAUGGAAACAUAGCCAGAGCAGGAAUGCUUAACCAGGCUGCUCAAUUCCCCCAGCUACCAUUUCACAGCUUUUGUGUUCUGUUCACCACAGAGUUCCACAGGACUUCUCCUCAGACCUUCUUAUCCUUCUUCUUUUCCCACUUUCUUGCAGGAAUUCCAGCCCAGAAAGUUCAUUUGUUCUUUACUCCAGUUGGCACAGUAUUUCAGUUUGUGUACCCUUUGAACAACCCUGCUCUCCGAGGGACUUUCUUGAAGCUUUCACCAUGUAGGCAGUGUGAGAAAUGUUAAGGAAGAGACAUCAUGGGUCACUGGAGAAAUUCCUGUAACAGGAUUUUGUGACGUGAGGAAGUAUAUACCCAUCAUCUGCCAUGCAUAACAAAAAUGGGAAGAUAAAAUUAACUAGUAAGACAUUGCUUUAUUCUCUCCUCUAUUUUUAAUAAUUUUUAAAUUGUCAUCCCAGGCUCUUCUGGCUUACACAUCAUAAAUUGUUAAAUAAAAUGAAGAAUAGCGUUAAUGUACA
Molecule: long non-coding RNA, 636 nt
Filed under: Cyanistes caeruleus (blue tit)
Lineage: Eukaryota; Metazoa; Chordata; Aves; Passeriformes; Paridae
Description: lncRNA (ENSCCEG00000019050.1)
Source: RNAcentral